GUGCCAGCAGCCGCGGUAAGACGAACCGUGCGAACGUUGUUCGGAUUCACUGGGCUUAAAGGGCGCGCAGGCGGCUAUCCAAGUCAGGCGUGAAAGCCCCGGGCUUAACCUGGGAAGUGCGCGGAAACUGGCGAGCUUGAAUGCCGGAGAGGGUCGCGGAAUUCCCGGUGUAGAGGUGAAAUUCGUAGAUAUCGGGAGGAACACCAGUGGCGAAGGCAGCGACCUGGACGGACAUUGACGCUGAGACGCGAAAGCGUGGGGAGCAAACAGGAUUAGAUACCCUGGUAGUCCACGCUGUAAACGAUGGGUGCUAGUUGUGGUGGGUGUUGACCCCUGCCGUGACGCAGCUAACGCAAUAAGCACCCCGCCUGGGAAGUACGGCCGCAAGGCUAAAACUCAAAUGAAUUGACGG
RNAcentral lists this ribosomal RNA (412 nucleotides) under uncultured bacterium. RNAcentral describes it as "bacterial SSU rRNA". It matches the Rfam family "Bacterial small subunit ribosomal RNA", at positions 505 to 916 of the family's 1533-position model. The record is from RNAcentral.